AUCUCAGUGAUGCGUUUCUCCUCCCAUUUGCGCAUCAUGAGUGUUCCCCUCUGAAGGAUUGCUUUUACGCUCCUUCAAAAUUUUAUAGCCGGACGUUUUGUCCGGCUUUUUUUU
This 114-nucleotide small RNA is filed under the name Paenochrobactrum gallinarii. RNAcentral describes it as "Alphaproteobacterial ar15". It matches the Rfam family "Alphaproteobacterial ar15". Lineage: Bacteria; Pseudomonadati; Pseudomonadota; Alphaproteobacteria; Hyphomicrobiales; Brucellaceae. The record is from Rfam by way of RNAcentral.